Long non-coding RNA from Fukomys damarensis (Damara mole-rat), 3183 nucleotides. NCBI's taxonomy places the organism in Eukaryota, Metazoa, Chordata, Mammalia, Rodentia, Bathyergidae. The record is from Ensembl.
AGCUCCCGUGCCGGGCCGGGGCGGGAAGUCCGUCCUGGCGUCUGCCCCGCGUGAGGCCUGCUGCCAGGAACCCGAGCCUGCGGGGAAGGACGGAGGGGGACGGAGCCCGAGCUCUCCGCAAUGAAAAGUGGACUCAAGCAGGGCUGUGGGGCGGGGAGAGGGGAGUGAGGCCGAGAGCCGGCUGAGAGGCCAGGGGGAGACCGGCAGAGGAGGAGACGGGGCUAAUUUAAGGAAAGUCAGGUAGAGAGACCGAAAGAGACUGGCAGGAAUGGAGGGGCAGAAAGACGAGGGGACUCGGAGACAGGGAGAGACAACCCCAGAUGUCGCUGUUGUUGCUGUGUGUUUUCCAGCACUGGGGAUUGAACCCAGGGCUUUCACACGGAGCUACAUCUCUUGCCCUUUCUUAUGUUCUAUUCGGAGACAAGGUCUUGCUCAGUCGCUUAAUUGCCCAGGCUGGACUGGAAUUUGUGAUCCUCCUGCCUCAGCCUCCCCGAGUGCUGGGAUUACAGGCGUUCACCCCCGAGCCGGGCUAACACCCCGUUAAGGCCCAGAGGAGAAGACGGAGCUGUCGGACAAGAGUUGGAACCUGGGAGACAAAGAUAGAGACAGUGAGAGACCAAUCGAGUAGCAGAGAUGCGGAAAGCAGACGGGCGACUCCGAAGCCAGGGAGAUGGAGUCAAAGUGGGGGACAGAGAUGUAGGAGAGGAGAUGGGGAGGGACGGACCCUGCGGGAUCCGGGCCGGGCCGCGCCCCGCCCAACCCCCUCACCGCGGCGGCGGCGCGGGCCAGUUACCAAGUUACCAAGUUACCGCAGGAUUCGGGAGCUUCUCACUGGCGCGGCCGCAGCCAAUCAGAGAGCAGCGCCGCUGUUCUCGGGCAGGAGGCCUGGAGACACGCGCACCUUCCCCCGACACCCAGCGAAGCGCGCUGACACAAUCACGGCGGCGCGCGCACACGCACUGUCCCGGGGACAUGCGGCGUCGCCCCUCCGCACACGCUCAAUCGCAGCGACACACACAGUGACAUACACAGCAUCACACCGACACACAAAAUCUCAAUGGAAGACACGAACGCGGACCUGGGACACAGCAGCGCUACCCAGAUCCACAAGCACGGCAGUGACACACAGCAUUCCUGGAGCACAUGUGACCCUCCGUGACAUACUGCACAGUCUUCCCAACACACACAACAUCGCACUGAUACACAGUAUCAUUGACACACGCAAUCACAGUGACACCCUCAUAGGCCCACACCCGGCUGGUCCCGGUGCACAUACUAUCACAGUGACACACUCACUGGACACGAUUAGUGAGACACCAUAUCGUAUACGCACCCUGUCACUGAUCCACGGACACACAACAUCACCCAGACAAGCACAGCCACAGUGACACACAAUCACACUUACCAUGGCACUGCACAGUCCCACAGACAACAGUGUCACGGCGCCACAGUCCCACCUCACACAGCCGCACUACCACAAGAGUACAGUGGUUCAACUUACUUGCAAACUUUCCCACUCAUGCUACAUGUCACUGUAGCGCAUAUACAACCUCGGUGCCACACAAUCACAACCGCAAGGGCACACACCGCCUCACAGAGGCACGCACUGCGCUCACACGGCACACCAGAGCGUUCCACAGUAGCGUAUGGACACGCGACGUUGUCACGGCAGCUUCCUACACGUGUAGCACUGUGACAGACGUAGCGUGCUGUGCUGACAUACGCAUCACACUAACACACGACUGUGACACACUAGCACACGGACACAACCAUCAUCCCAACGCCAGGCUCCUAACACAGCACACUGACCGCAGCCCUACAGAAACCUCUCCAGCACACGCGCGCGCGCGCGCCCUUGCCCUGGAAGCUGGGUGUGAUGAGGGAUGCUGGGGGAGGGACGCUGGAUGGGCUGCUGUGUGUGUUUGUGUACAUGUGCUUCAGCGAUCCCUCCCCCUUCUUGCCCUUCCUGGGGGCGGGGCCGCGCGCGCUGCAGCCGCUGUUACCGGGUAAACUUCCCGCCCCCCCCAGCGCGGCCAUUAGUCAACCCCCCCAGGAUGAUGUCAUCGCCUCAUUCUGGAGGCUGAGUAAUCCUCGACUCCGCCCCCCGCAGGUACCAGGGUAGGGGCGGGCCGCACCUGGGCGCACAGUGGUCCGGCGCUGAGGUCCGGAGCUUCCGUUUUCUGCCAGGCUCUCCCUGCGAUGGGUACUGAGGAACUGGGUCCUCUCGAGUGGUCCAAGGGUGCACAUCAGGGUCCCUAGAGGCUGGGGACUUCCGGCGCUGAUUCAUACUGGCCAGCUAAUGGUACUGACAGGCUGACCCUCCUGGCCUGGAGUCUUGGGCCUCCCAGGAGUCUGGCACUAGGGAGCCCCCAUCCCCGACCCCCCGCUGCCACCACCACUGGAAGGGGCUGGGUCGCCGCGCCAGGGUCCUGAGAGCUCCAAGUUUAGACUCCAGGUGGGGGCCAAGGAGUAGAGAAAGCAGCUCUGAGGUCAGGCGUCCUGGUCUUGGAGAUCAACAAGUUGGACCCUGGGGAAAGGGCUCCGCGGGGAGGGAGGGGCAAGUCUGCGCCUUGGGGCUGGGCAGGGGCUCACACAGGGAGGACCCGGAGCAUCUCCCACUUCAUCCUGGGGAGACCAGGGUGCCCAGGCCUUCUGAGGCCUCUUAGGGCCUGGGACCCAGGGCCUGGGUGUUCCAGUGGGCCUAGGGUGUUCUAGACAAGCCUGGGUCCCCUUGGGAAAGGGACUCUGAGUCCUUGGUUCCUGGGGCCAGAACACCAGCCUUCCUUGGGGGAAGGGGACUCCUACCCUUGUUUCCAUGAGUCCAGACCUGCCUGGCUCCUUUGGGGGGAGGAGCACCCCUAUUUUUUAUCGGGCCAGGACACCUGGGUUCUCUCCUUGACAGCUCCUAUUUUCAAAAGCCACAAGGCUUGAAUCCCGAUGGAGGUGAGGACAAACCAGUCCCUGUCCUCACAGGGUCGGGAUGCGACUUGGACGGGGACCCUUGGUGACUAUCUUCACGGCACCUCCCGGAGGGAGGGACAGCACGCGCAGACCCUGUUCCCAGGGUAUCCCAAGCGCCCAUCCUUGUCCCCAGGGGAGGAGAGGGGGUAGGCAAAUGGAGGGGCGCAGCCCGGGUCUCACCCCAGCCGGCCUGAGCCGCGAGCCUGGCAGCUCCCCGGGGCC